Molecule: transfer RNA, 77 nt
Filed under: Chitinispirillales bacterium
Lineage: Bacteria; Pseudomonadati; Fibrobacterota; Chitinispirillia; Chitinispirillales
Description: tRNA-Val
Rfam family: tRNA
About the family: Transfer RNA (tRNA) molecules are approximately 80 nucleotides in length. Their secondary structure includes four short double-helical elements and three loops (D, anti-codon, and T loops). Further hydrogen bonds mediate the characteristic L-shaped molecular structure. tRNAs have two regions of fundamental functional importance: the anti-codon, which is responsible for specific mRNA codon recognition, and the 3' end, to which the tRNAs corresponding amino acid is attached (by aminoacyl-tRNA synthetases). tRNAs cope with the degeneracy of the genetic code in two manners: having more than one tRNA (with a specific anti-codon) for a particular amino acid; and 'wobble' base-pairing, i.e. permitting non-standard base-pairing at the 3rd anti-codon position.
Source: RNAcentral
GGGCGCAUGGCUCAGCUGGUUAGAGCGCCGCGUUCACAUCGCGGAGACCGCUGGUUCGAGUCCAGCUGCGCCCACCA